UGACGGGUCAAUUCAACAAAUCAAGACAUCUUCUCAAUAUAUUAAUCUAUAUUCGAUCUAAUGAAAAUUCAUCUCUUCUGAUUCAUUGAAUUCGAGCUUGAGAUGUCGCUGUCAUUGAACUGGUCUGAUGAGAAUUGCAAACCAUAGAAUUCAUCUUUCCAAGUUCCCAUCCCAGUUGUCAUCUGGGUUAUUGGUUUCUUAAUUGUUAGUUAUGUAGUUGAAUCACAGUGUGAGCUUCAUGAGGCAGGAGAUUGAUCUGACUACUUUUGUCCUUGAGAAAAGCAUACAAAAAGAAUAGUUGAAGGCCUGAUGAUGAAUUUCUGCCUCAUCUACUUCUUGAUUCUGGUCCUUGUAGACCAUGGAUUUGGGUUUAACAUGGAUGAGUGCAAAGAAUCUAAAUGUGGGGGUCAUGGUCCAGCAGUCCGAUUCCCUUUCCGAAUCAAAGGCCAGCAACCUGACUCCUGUGGUUACCCUGAAACUGGGUUUGAUCUAUCUUGCUCAGAAAGAAAGGAGACGGUGCUGGAGCUGCCUACUUCAGUGAAACUCUUGGUCAAAAAGAUAGAUUAUGUUGCUCAAGUGAUUUAUACAAGUGAUCCACAAGAUUGUCUUCCAAGACAGCUUUCCAACUUCAAUUUAUCUGCUUCUUCAUUCCGGUUUAGGGACAUUGGCGACUUCAAUCAUCAGUCCUUGUUCAACUGUUCAUGGAGAAAAAAAUACGUUCUUUCAAAUGCCUUGCCUCAGUGCUCCUGGCUACCAAGUUUAUGUGUUUAGUUCAAGAGUUUCCAUGGACAAUAUUGCCCUUUUGUAUUGUGCCAAGAUGUAUGAUGUUUCACUAGUUCCAGAUGACAUGAUUGAUGGAAAUAAUAUUCUUCAUUUGAAUUGGUCCAUUCCAAGUUGUGGAUCUUGUGCAGCAAAAGGCAAAUUUUGCAGAUUGAAGGCUAACACCACUGAACCUGAAAUUGAAUGUUACGGCAAGCUCAGGCAAAUUAAAUGGUCAUCCGCAAAAUUUGUAGCCACAGGUAUAGUCCUGGUUUUGAUUCUGCUAGUAGUAGUGGGGAUUGUUGUUUACCGCAUCUACAGCUUCAACAGAAUUGAAAAAGAAUAUCAAUCUAAGAUUGAAAAAUUUUUAGAUGAUUAUAAAGCUUUCAAGCCUGCAAGAUAUUCCUAUGCUGAUAUCAAGAGGAUCACAAAUCACUUCAAGGAGGAAUUAGGCCAAGGAGCUUAUGGAACUG
RNAcentral lists this unclassified non-coding RNA (1232 nucleotides) under Hevea brasiliensis (rubber tree). The record is from RNAcentral. Lineage: Eukaryota; Viridiplantae; Streptophyta; Magnoliopsida; Malpighiales; Euphorbiaceae.